GGAACCAGAAGGUUGACCUUCAGACGUGAUCCCAAAACUUGUGAGGAAAUUUGAUCUGGGUGUAACUGAAUCCAGAGACAUUGGAAGAUGGCAGCUGGACUUUGUUGUUGGGAACAUGGCAGCCAUGUUAUCAGAUUUGGCUGCCAUUUGUUGGGAACAUGGCAAUGCUAGUUGAAUUUGAUCAGAUUUGGCUGAUGUACAGCGGCUGCCAUUUGUGCUGCUGCUGAUUCUUGUGCAUGUACAUAGACAAAACUGACAUGCUAACACACAUGGUGGAUUGUGAAGCGGGGCUUGUAGAGUUGUCUGUUUCCAGAGUUGGAGACACAAGGACUAGCGGAUAAAGAAGCAUGUGCCCAAUUUUGGACUGAUUUAUGCUGCAGCUUUCAGUUUGUUGCCCAGAAGAUGAAACGGAAAGAUGGUUUUCUCAUGAAGAGCAGGAUCCAUAUACAUAUACAGAGAAAUUGAUGUAAAAAAGGGAGUAAAUUAGAAAAGAAAAAAAAAAUGAAAAGAUUUUAACGUUGGGUAGGUGUAGGCAAUAUUUCAUU
This 545-nucleotide unclassified non-coding RNA is filed under the name Hevea brasiliensis (rubber tree). Lineage: Eukaryota; Viridiplantae; Streptophyta; Magnoliopsida; Malpighiales; Euphorbiaceae. The record is from RNAcentral.